AAUAUAAAUACACUACAGCGAAGGGAGCAGAGACUGUGAAAAGGCAUGGCAGCACUACACACAAAACGGAAAAUUACAAACAAUGACCACUCAAUGUCGAGCUUUCAAAACGUCAAGGAGGAUUCAUGCUGAAGUUAUGCUUCUUUAUAUAAUAGUGUGCCAGUAUGGGUGCAGUGAGGGGGUGGCAGAGACAGCGGCUGGCUCCAACAUCACGGUGAAAGUGGGGGACAGCAUCAAGUUUCCUUUCUCAGCUGAGGGCAACCAAAGCUACACCACUGACCUACUUUUUAAUUAUAUAUUUACAAUUGUUACAUGGAUUCCUCCACAAUUCAUUCAUGUACGAGAACAAUAUAAGGGAAGGGUCAGCAUUGGCAAUCACUCGAUAUGGCUGAACAAUUCAAGACUAUCAGAUUCUGGCUUUUAUCAAGUUAAAACUAAGUACGGAUCUGGAGGUUUUAAGCCACCGGAGUACAAAUACUUUCAUCUGCAGGUUUUUGAGCCCGUCUCUAAACCCAACAUCACAGCUGAGUGCCUGGGGAGUAAUGUCAGUCUGAGUUGCUUCAGCACUCAGGGGACUGAAGUGACUUACAGCUGGGAAACUCUGCCCCCUUGUGGUAAUGACAGCUGUGUGCACCUGGGCCAAGCGAUAUGCCUCCAGUUACAAGGCUUUUCUCCAUCCACAACCUACGCUUGUACAGCCCAUAACCCUGUCAGCAGAGCCACCAGCAAUUCUGUUGAUCUGGAAAUGUGCUUCCCGCAACGAUCACAAGUUAGAUGGGUUCCAGCCCUGUGUGCCACAUCAGCAUUCCUCGUCUUCGGAGGACUAAUACUGCUGUACAAGAGGAUAAAGUAAACACUACAAAAGUGAAACAAUUCAAGUUGAAGUUGACAAGCCAGUCAUGGAAGAGGAGCCACCGUCUUCAAGGCCUUCUAUUGAUCCAGUAUCUGUCUAUUAUAUGGACCAGAAAAAAGCUAAAUGGUUCACAUUGCAAAGAGCAAUGUGUUGCCCUGUUGAAAUGAAACGGUAACAGUAACAGUGACGGAGUGUAGCACAG
This is an RNA transcript of Anguilla rostrata (American eel), 1055 nucleotides long. It is a transcript of the gene named SLAM family member 9-like, with no coding region annotated. The transcript has 6 exons. The record is from RefSeq and is a predicted model, not a curated record. NCBI's taxonomy places the organism in Eukaryota, Metazoa, Chordata, Actinopteri, Anguilliformes, Anguillidae.